RNAcentral lists this ribosomal RNA (279 nucleotides) under uncultured bacterium. RNAcentral's name for it is "partial 16S ribosomal RNA". It matches the Rfam family "Bacterial small subunit ribosomal RNA", at positions 506 to 784 of the family's 1533-position model. The record is from RNAcentral.
UGCCAGCCGCCGCGGUAAUACGGAGGGGGCGAGCGUUGUUCGGAAUUACUGGGCGUAAAGCGCACGUAGGCGGACUGAUCAGUUGGGGGUGAAAUCCCGAGGCUUAACCUCGGAGCUGCCUUCAAUACUGUCAGUCUUGAGAUCGGAAGAGGUGAGUGGAAUUCCUAGUGUAGAGGUGAAAUUCGUAGAUAUUAGGAAGAACACCAGUGGCGAAGGCGGCUCACUGGUCCGAUACUGACGCUGAGGUGCGAAAGCGUGGGGAGCGAACAGGAUUAGAUA